Molecule: long non-coding RNA, 1249 nt
Filed under: Piliocolobus tephrosceles (Ugandan red Colobus)
Lineage: Eukaryota; Metazoa; Chordata; Mammalia; Primates; Cercopithecidae
Description: lncRNA (ENSPTEG00000011772.1)
Source: RNAcentral
AUUUAGCAAUGCUGUAAAAAAUGAAGUACUAAAUUUAGCAUAUGCUACUUAUACUGAUAAAACAAAUUUAUUAACAACAAAAAAGGAAAACUGUGGUAAAAAAUGUGUCAUGUCUGAUGGUUUUGAUGGGACUACUGCUACUGCUACUACUACUGCUGCUGCUGCUGCUGCUACUGCUACUACUGCUGCUGCUGCUGCUACUACUACUGCUGCUGCUACUACUACUGCUGCUGCUACUACUACUACUACUGCUGCUGCUACUACUACUACUACUACUACAACCGCGACCACUUAUAAUAGUACCAUUUCUAUUAUUGAAAAACAACAAAAAGAAACACUCGAUCAACAACAUACAUAUGAAAAUCUGUACGAACAAAACCAAACAUACAUAAUGCCUAUUUCGUUUGUAGGUGGCGAGACAUCUUAUUCUUUAAUAGGUGUUAUAUAUAUAGAAGAUGCAUUAACCCUAAUUAAUAAUGAGUUUGAUGAAAGUGGUACUAAAACAAUAGGUAAUAAUAUAAAAGACACAUUGUAUAUUUCAGAUAAUAAUAAAAAAUUAUUAGACAGUUUUUUAAGUAAAUGGUUUAUGAACGAAAAAAGUAAUGAACAAAUAAUAUCUGACAAGCUAAAGUGUGGAAGUGUAUACAAAAUAAAGUACGUAUGUGAAUAUAAAAAUUCUUGUUUUUUUCCUGCUAGAAAACAACCAUUAUAUGGUAUUAUAAAUAAUAAAAUAAAUAAGGCUAUAGAUAAAAAAAAUAUAGAAAUUGUUAUAGAUUCUAAUAAAUUUAAAGAAGUAGUGCUUAGUGUUGAUAGUUAUAAAAAAUAUGGUAGUAGGCCUAACAACAUAGACAUUAAAAAAGGGGUAGGUGUUGUCAUUACAUCAGUCAAUAAUGGUACUACUUCAUCUUGCAAUGUUGAACAAAAUGAACAAAGUAACACAUUUAUUAUGACAAAGGAAAAGUCAAAACAAAUGUAUGAUAACACCAUGCAUAUCAAAAAAAAUGAACAAACUACUGCUGGUCCUACUGAUGACCAUACAAUUACUAACACGUCCAAUAAUGCCAAACAAACUAAAAAUCAACUAAAUUUAAUAAAACAAUCACAGUUAUUAAAAAUAUUUGAAAUUUUAUAUGAUAGUAAAAUUACACCUGUGUCAAUAGAUAAUAAUUUUAAUAUUAGUAACCCUUAUGCUGGCUAUUGUGCCUUACUACCAUUUUUAACAAAAAGCGAAUUUCUUUUUUUUCGAGAA